RNAcentral lists this ribosomal RNA (773 nucleotides) under uncultured organism. RNAcentral describes it as "bacterial SSU rRNA". It matches the Rfam family "Bacterial small subunit ribosomal RNA", at positions 36 to 787 of the family's 1533-position model. The record is from RNAcentral.
CUGGCGGCGUGCUUAAUACAUGCAAGUCAAGGAGAAAAGAUAUCUUCGGACGUCUGAGUAAACUGGCGAACGGGUGAGUAACACGUAGGUAACCUGCCCUCGAGACUGGGAUAACAUCGCCAACGCGAUGCUAAUACCGGAUAAAGCACAGGAUUCGCAUGGAUUUUGUGUUAAAGUUGGCUUCGGCUUGCACUUGAGGAUGGACCUGCGCCCCAUUAGUUAGUUGGUGAGAUAACGGCUCACCAAGACUGCGAUGGGUAGCCGGCCUGAGAGGGUGAUCGGCCACACUGGGACUGAGAUACGGCCCAGACUUCUACGGAAGGCAGCAGUAAGGAAUAUUGCGCAAUGGUCGAAAGACUGACGCAGCAACGCCGCGUGCAGGAUGAAGCUUCUAGGAGUGUAAACUGCUUUUAGUUGGGAAGAACAGACAGGUUUCGAAUAGGGACUUGUUUUGACGGUACCUUUAGAAAAAGCCCCGGCUAACUCCGUGCCAGCAGCCGCGGUAACACGGGGGGGGCAAGCGUUGUCCGGCAAUUAUUGGGCGUAAAGGGCGCGCAGGCCGGGAUGAUCAGUCUGAGGUGAAAUCUUUUGGCUUAACCGAAAGCUUGCCUUGGAUACUGUCAUUCUUGAGUUCGGAAGAGGGAAGUGGAAUUCCUGCGUGUAGCGGUGAAAUGCGUAGAUAUCAGGAAGAACACCGGUUGCGAAGGCGGCUUCCUGGUCCGAUACUGACGCUGAGGCGCGAAAGCGUGGGGAGCGAACAGGAUUAGAUACCC